GAUGAACGCUGGCGGCGUGCCUAACACAUGCAAGUCGAACGAAGCACCUUACCUGAUUCUUCGGAUGAAAGUUUGGUGACUGAGUGGCGGACGGGUGAGUAACGCGUGGGUAACCUGCACUGUACAGGGGGAUAACAGCUGGAACCGGCUGCUAAUACCGCAUAAGCGCACGAGGAGACAUCUCCUUGUGUGAAAAACUCCGGUGGGACAGGAUGGGCCCGCGUCUGAUUAGCUGGUUGGCAGGGUACCGGCCUACCAAGGCAACGAUCAGUAGCCGGUCGGGGAGGAGGAACGGCCACAUUGGAACUGAGACACGGUCCAAACUCCUACGGGAGGCAGCAGUGGGGUAUAUUGCACGAUGGGGGAAACCCUGGUGCAGCAACGCCGCGUGAGUGAAGAAGUAUUUCGGUAUGUAAAGCUCUAUCAGCAGGGAAGAUAAUGACGGUACCUGACUAAGAAGCUCCGGCUAAAUACGUG
This 477-nucleotide ribosomal RNA is filed under the name uncultured bacterium. RNAcentral describes it as "partial 16S ribosomal RNA". It matches the Rfam family "Bacterial small subunit ribosomal RNA", at positions 28 to 507 of the family's 1533-position model. The record is from RNAcentral.